This 253-nucleotide ribosomal RNA is filed under the name uncultured bacterium. RNAcentral describes it as "partial 16S ribosomal RNA". It matches the Rfam family "Bacterial small subunit ribosomal RNA", at positions 524 to 776 of the family's 1533-position model. The record is from RNAcentral.
UACGUAGGGUGCGAGCGUUAAUCGGAAUUACUGGGCGUAAAGCGUGCGCAGGCGGUUAUUUAAGACAGAUGUGAAAGCCCCGGGCUCAACCUGGGAACUGCAUUUGGGACUGCAUAGCUAGAGUACGGUAGAGGGGGAUGGAAUUCCGCGUGUAGCAGUGAAAUGCGUAGAUAUGCGGAGGAACACCGAUGGCGAAGGCAAUCCCCUGGACCUUUACUGACGCUCAUGCGCGAAAGCGUGGGGAGCAAACAGG